GGGUUGUGAGGUUAAGCGACUAAGCGUACACGGUGGAUGCCCUGGCAGUCAGAGGCGAUGAAGGACGUGCUAAUCUGCGAAAAGCGUCGGUAAGGUGAUAUGAACCGUUAUAACCGGCGAUGUCCGAAUGGGGAAACCCAGUGCAAUUCGUUGCACUAUCGUUAACUGAAUACAUAGGUUAACGAGGCGAACCGGGGGAACUGAAACAUCUAAGUACCCCGAGGAAAAGAAAUCAACCGAGAUUCCCCCAGUAGCGGCGAGCGAACGGGGAGCAGCCCAGAGUCUGAAUCAGCUUGUGUGUUAGUGGAACGGUCUGGAAAGUCCGACGGUACAGGGUGAUAGUCCCGUACACCAAAAUGCACAGGUUGUGAACUCGAAGAGUAGGGCGGGACACGUGGUAUCCUGUCUGAAUAUGGG
RNAcentral lists this ribosomal RNA (417 nucleotides) under Klebsiella pneumoniae. RNAcentral describes it as "partial 23S ribosomal RNA". It matches the Rfam family "Bacterial large subunit ribosomal RNA", at positions 1 to 448 of the family's 2925-position model. The record is from RNAcentral. Lineage: Bacteria; Pseudomonadati; Pseudomonadota; Gammaproteobacteria; Enterobacterales; Enterobacteriaceae.